RNAcentral lists this ribosomal RNA (492 nucleotides) under uncultured bacterium. Its description in RNAcentral is "partial 16S ribosomal RNA". It matches the Rfam family "Bacterial small subunit ribosomal RNA", at positions 29 to 507 of the family's 1533-position model. The record is from RNAcentral.
AGUGAACGCUGGCGGUAGGCCUAACACAUGCCAGCCGAACGGCAGCACAGUAAGAGCUUGCUCUUACGGGUGGCGAGUGGCGGACGGGUGAGGAAUACAUCGGAAUCUACUUUUUCGUGGGGGAUAACGUAGGGAAACUUACGCUAAUACCGCAUACGACCUACGGGUGAAAGCAGGGGAUCUUCGGACCUUGCGCGAUUGAAUGAGCCGAUGUCGGAUUAGCUAGUUGGCGGGGUAAAGGCCCACCAAGGCGACGAUCCGUAGCUGGUCUGAGAGGAUGAUCAGCCACACUGGAACUGAGACACGGUCCAGACUCCUACGGGAGGCAGCAGUGGGGAAUAUUGGACAAUGGGCGCAAGCCUGAUCCAGCCAUGCCGCGUGGGUGAAGAAGGCCUUCGGGUUGUAAAGCCCUUUUGUUGGGAAAGAAAAGCAGCAGGUUAAUACCCCGCUGUUCUGACGGUACCCAAAGAAUAAGCACCGGCUAACUUCGUG